This 57-nucleotide transfer RNA is filed under the name Bos taurus (domestic cattle). It matches the Rfam family "tRNA", at positions 8 to 63 of the family's 71-position model. From Rfam's summary of the family: Transfer RNA (tRNA) molecules are approximately 80 nucleotides in length. Lineage: Eukaryota; Metazoa; Chordata; Mammalia; Artiodactyla; Bovidae. The record is from Rfam by way of RNAcentral. RNAcentral also lists the same sequence under 2 other names.
UGGCUCAGACAGUAAAGCAUCUGCCUGCAAUGCAGGAGACCCAGGUUCAAUUCCUGG